RNAcentral lists this ribosomal RNA (481 nucleotides) under uncultured bacterium. Its description in RNAcentral is "bacterial SSU rRNA". It matches the Rfam family "Bacterial small subunit ribosomal RNA", at positions 21 to 518 of the family's 1533-position model. The record is from RNAcentral.
GGCUCAGGACGAACGCUGGCGGCGUGCCUAACACAUGCAAGUCGAGCGAUGAAGCCCUUCGGGGUGAAUUAGCGGCGGACGGGUGAGUAACACGUGGGUAACCUGCCUUAUAGAGGGGGAUAGCCUUCCGAAAGGAAGAUUAAUACCGCAUGAAAUGUUUUUAUCGCACGGUAGAAACAUCAAAGGAGUAAUCCGCUAUAAGAUGGACCCGCGGCGCAUUAGCUAGUUGGUGAGGUAACGGCCCACCAAGGCGACGAUGCGUAGCCGACCUGAGAGGGUGAUCGGCCACAUUGGAACUGAGACACGGUCCAGACUCCGUACGGGAGGCAGCAGGUGGGGAAUAUUGCGCAAUGGGGGAAACCCUGACGCCAGCAACGCCGCGUGAAUGAAGAAGGCCUUAGGGUUGUAAAGUUCUGUUUUCUGGGACGAUAAUGACGGUACCAGAGGAGGAAGCCACGGCUAACUACGUGCCAGCAGCUGC